AUUGAACGCUGGCGGCAUGCCUUACACAUGCAAGUCGAACGGCAGCACGGGUGCUUGCACCUGGUGGCGAGUGGCGAACGGGUGAGUAAUACAUCGGCACAUGUCCUGUAGUGGGGGAUAGCCCGGCGAAAGCCGGAUUAAUACCGCAUACGAUCUACGGAUGAAAGCGGGGGACCUUCGGGCCUCGCGCUAUAGGGUUGGCCGAUGGCUGAUUAGCUAGUUGGUGGGGUAAAGGCCAACCAAGGCGACGAUCAGUAGCUGGUCUGAGAGGACGACCAGCCACACUGGGACUGAGACACGGCCCAGACUCCGACGGGAGGCAGCAGUGGGGAAUUUUGGACAAUGGGCGAAAGCCUGAUCCAGCAAUGCCGCGUGUGUGAAGAAGGCCUUCGGGUUGUAAAGCACUUUUGUCCGGAAAGAAAUCCUUGGCCCUAAGACGGUCGGGGGAUGACGGGACCGGAAGAAUAACACCGGCUAACUACGUG
Molecule: ribosomal RNA, 485 nt
Filed under: uncultured bacterium
Lineage: Bacteria
Description: partial 16S ribosomal RNA
Rfam family: Bacterial small subunit ribosomal RNA
Source: RNAcentral